This 440-nucleotide ribosomal RNA is filed under the name uncultured bacterium. Its description in RNAcentral is "partial 16S ribosomal RNA". It matches the Rfam family "Bacterial small subunit ribosomal RNA", at positions 338 to 795 of the family's 1533-position model. The record is from RNAcentral.
CCUACGGGAGGCAGCAGUGGGGAAUAUUGGACAAUGGGGGAAACCCUUAUCCAGCGACGCCGCGUGAGGGAAGAAGGCUUUCGGAUUGUAAACCUCUGUCCGUGGGGGCGUUAAUAUCGUUACUCACGGAGGAAGACACGGCUACCUACUUUCCAGCAGCCGCGGUAAUACGUAGGUGGCAGGCGUUGUCCGGACUUACUGGGGGUAAAGGGGGCGUAGGCGGGAUGUCAAGUAAGAAGGGAAUAGUAUGGGCUCAACUCAUCAUCUGCUUUUGAAACUGAUAUUCUUGAGUGAAGUAGAGGCAAGCGGAAUUCCGAGUGUAGCGGUGAAAUGCGUAGAUAUUAGGAGGAACACCAGUGGCGAAGGCGGCUUGCUGGGCUUUUACUGACGCUGAGGCGCGAAAGCGUGGGGAGCAAACAGGAUUAGAUACCCGAGUAGUC